RNAcentral lists this ribosomal RNA (465 nucleotides) under uncultured bacterium. RNAcentral describes it as "partial 16S ribosomal RNA". It matches the Rfam family "Bacterial small subunit ribosomal RNA", at positions 28 to 507 of the family's 1533-position model. The record is from RNAcentral.
GACGAACGCUGGCGGCGUGCUUAACACAUGCAAGUCGAACGGAAAGGCCCCUUUGGGGGUACUCGAGUGGCGAACGGGUGAGUAACACGUGAGUAACCUGCCCUUGACUUCGGGAUAACUUCAGGAAACUGGGGCUAAUACCGGAUAGGAAUCCUUGCUGCAUGGUGGGGGUUGGAAAGCUUCGGCGGUUUUGGAUGGACUGGCGGCUUAUCCGCUUGUUGGUGGGGUAGUGGCUUACCAAGGCUUUGACGGGUAGCCGGCCUGAGAGGGAGACCGGCCACAUUGGGGCUGAGAGACGGCCCAGACGCCUACGGGGGGCAGCAGUGGGGAAUAUUGCACAAUGGGCGGAAGCCUGAUGCAGCAACGCCGCGUGCGGGAGGACGGCCUUCGGGUUGUAAACCGAUUUCAGCAGGGGCGAAGCUUGUGGUGACGGUACCUGCAGAAGAAGCACCGGCUAACUACGUG